UACGUAGGGGGCUAGCGUUAUCCGGAAUUACUGGGCGUAAAGGGUGCGUAGGUGGUUUCUUAAGUCAGAGGUGAAAGGCUACGGCUCAACCGUAGUAAGCCUUUGAAACUGGGAAACUUGAGUGCAGGAGAGGAGAGUGGAAUUCCUAGUGUAGCGGUGAAAUGCGUAGAUAUUAGGAGGAACACCAGUUGCGAAGGCGGCUCUCUGGACUGUAACUGACACUGAGGCACGAAAGCGUGGGGAGCAAACAGGAUUAGAUACCCGGGUAGUCCCUGAGCGGGCU
RNAcentral lists this ribosomal RNA (283 nucleotides) under uncultured prokaryote. Its description in RNAcentral is "partial 16S ribosomal RNA". It matches the Rfam family "Bacterial small subunit ribosomal RNA", at positions 524 to 817 of the family's 1533-position model. The record is from RNAcentral.